This is a long non-coding RNA of Esox lucius (northern pike), 331 nucleotides long. RefSeq lists it as uncharacterized. Lineage: Eukaryota; Metazoa; Chordata; Actinopteri; Esociformes; Esocidae. The transcript has 3 exons. The record is from RefSeq and is a predicted model, not a curated record.
GGGAUCUGUUACUCCCCCUAGACACCAGGAAGAUUUGGUGUUUCUUGACAGCAUUUUGAGGCAGGAUAAAGCUCCAGGAACGAUUUCUUCGGUUUUUGGCUAUCAAAUGUGGGAGGGACCUGAAGACAACAGUGUGGAGAAUGCUUCAGAGGGCCCUCCGGAAGAACCCGGCAACCCAGGAUGCCACUGAUGAGGCGGUCCAGGUUAACGUUACACGUUACCUGAAGGGAGCAUCAGACCGUGAAGGAGGAAAAAGCCGCACAGCUGAGAAGGACCCACAGCCGACCCCUUAAACCUAGGCUGACUACUGACACCCCGGCAUCACUGACAA